RNAcentral lists this ribosomal RNA (519 nucleotides) under Triticum aestivum (bread wheat). Its description in RNAcentral is "partial small subunit ribosomal RNA". The record is from RNAcentral. Lineage: Eukaryota; Viridiplantae; Streptophyta; Magnoliopsida; Poales; Poaceae.
AUGGAGCUAGUGCAAGCUCUGGGGUACAAUAAAUUGCCCUGUGUUUUUGGGGGCGAUUUUAACUUAAUUAGGAGAAUUAACGAGAGAAACAAAAUUAAAAAACUUCCAAAAUGGUCUUUUUAUUUUAAUUCUAUUAUUGAGCAUUGGGGCUUAAAAGAAUUAGAUUUGUCAGGGAGGAGCUAUACUUGGUCGAAUAAUCAGGAGGAUCCGCUUUUUGCUAAGUUGGACAGAAUUUUAGUGAGCUCUCUUUGGGAGCAGCAAUUUCCUUUAGUAACUGUCAGAACCUUGGUGAGAGGGGUCUCUGACCAUGCAGCGCUUCUAUUACAUACAGGGAUUAAGUCUACUAUUAAUUGCAAGCCUUUUAAAUUUGAGCUAUGCUGGCUGUCUAGAGAAGAGCUCCCUGAUAUUGUUAAUAAAGUCUGGAGUUCCACUAUUCGUAGAGGUAGUAGUCUUGAUUGGUGGCAGGAUUUCAUGCGGAAAUUAAGGAGAACCCUUAAAGGGUGGAACCUUAAUGUAUAG